GCAUAUCAAUAAGCGGAGGAAAAGAAACCAACAGGGAUUACCUCAGUAACGGCGAAGUGAAGCGGUAACAGCUCAAAUUUGAAAUCUGGCCCUUUUAGGGUCCGAGUUGUAAUUUGUAGAAGAUGCUUUGGGCGUGGCUCCGGUCUAAGUUCCUUGGAACAGGACGUCAUAGAGGGUGAGAAUCCCGUAUGUGACUGGUAGCUUUCGCCCGUGUAAAGCUCUUUCGACGAGUCGAGUUGUUUGGGAAUGCAGCUCAAAAUGGGUGGUAAAUUUCAUCUAAAGCUAAAUAUUGGCCAGAGACCGAUAGCGCACAAGUAGAGUGAUCGAAAGAUGAAAAGCACUUUGGAAAGAGAGUUAAACAGUACGUGAAAUUGUUGAAAGGGAAGCGCUUGCAACCAGACUCGCAGGCCGUCGAUCAUCUCAGGUUCUCCUGGGUGCACUCGGCGGUCUUCGGGCCAGCAUCGGUUUGGGUGGUGGGAUAAAGGCCUUGGGAAUGUAGCUUCUUUCGGGGAGUGUUAUAGCCCUCGGUGCAAUGCCGCCUACCCGGACCGAGGACCGCGCUUCGGCUAGGAUGCUGGCGUAAUGGUUGUAAGCGACCCGUCUUGAAACACGGACCAAGGAGUCUAACAUCUAUGCGAGUAUUUGGGUGUUAAACCCAUAUGCGUAAUGAAAGUGAACGGAGGUGAGAACCCUUAAGGGUGCAUCAUCGACCGAUCCUGAUGUCUUCGGAUGGAUUUGAGUAAGAGCAUAGCUGUUGGGACCCGAAAGAUGGUGAACUAUGCCUAAAUAGGGUGAAGCCAGAGGAAACUCUGGUGGAGGCUCGCAGCGGUUCUGACGUGCAAAUCGAUCGUCAAAUUUGGGUAUAGGGGCGAAAGACUAAUCGAACCAUCUAGUAGCUGGGUGCUGCGA
This 909-nucleotide ribosomal RNA is filed under the name Lachnellula calyciformis. RNAcentral describes it as "LSU rRNA". It matches the Rfam family "Eukaryotic large subunit ribosomal RNA", at positions 38 to 963 of the family's 3401-position model. The record is from RNAcentral. Lineage: Eukaryota; Fungi; Ascomycota; Leotiomycetes; Helotiales; Lachnaceae.